Molecule: ribosomal RNA, 839 nt
Filed under: uncultured bacterium
Lineage: Bacteria
Description: bacterial SSU rRNA
Rfam family: Bacterial small subunit ribosomal RNA
Source: RNAcentral
UAGAACGGUAACAGGGACUAGCUCCGCUGACAAGUGGCGAACGGGUGAGUAAGUAUCGGAACGUACAUUUCAGUGGGGGAUAACGUAGCGAAAGUUACACUAAUACCGCAUAUUCUGUGAGCAGGAAAGCAGGGGAUCGCAAGACCCUUGCGCUGAUUGAGCGGCCGAUAUCAGAUUAGCUAGUUGGUGAGGUAAAGGCUCACCAAGGCGACGAUUUGUAGCGGGUCUGAGAGGAUGAUCCGCCACACUGGAACUGAGACACGGUCCAGACUCCUACGGGAGGCAGCAGUGGGGAAUUUUGGACAAUGGGGGCAACCCUGAUCCAGCCAUGCCGCGUGAGUGAAGAAGGCCUUCGGGUUGUAAAGCUCUUUCGGCCGGGAAGAAAUCGCAUGGGUUAAUACCCUAUGCGGAUGACGGUACCGGCAUAAGAAGCACCGGCUAACUACGUGCCAGCAGCCGCGGUAAUACGUAGGGUGCGAGCGUUAAUCGGAAUUACUGGGCGUAAAGCGUGCGCAGGCGGUUUUGUAAGACAGGCGUGAAAUCCCCGGGCUCAACCUGGGAACUGCGCUUGUGACUGCAAGGCUAGAGUAUGGCAGAGGGGGGUGGAAUUCCACGUGUAGCAGUGAAAUGCGUAGAGAUGUGGAGGAACACCAAUGGCGAAGGCAGCCCCCUGGGCCAAUACUGACGCUCAUGCACGAAAGCGUGGGUAGCAAACAGGAUUAGAUACCCUGGUAGUCCACGCCCUAAACGAUGUCAACUAGGUGUUGGGUGGGUAAAACCAUUUAGUACCGGAGCUAACGCGUGAAGUUGACCGCCUGGGGAGUACGGCCGCAAGGUUA